CACGUAGGGUGCGAGCGUUGUCCGGAAUUAUUGGGCGUAAAGAGCUCGUAGGCGGUGUGUCGCGUCGGCCGUGAAAACCUGCAGCUUAACUGUGGGCUUGCGGUCGAUACGGGCAUCACUGGAGUUCGGCAGGGGAGACUGGAAUUCCUGGUGUAGCGGUGAAAUGCGCAGAUAUCAGGAGGAACACCAAUGGCGAAGGCAGGUCUCUGGGCCACAACUGACGCUGAGGAGCGAAAGCGUGGGGAGCGAACAGG
RNAcentral lists this ribosomal RNA (254 nucleotides) under uncultured bacterium. Its description in RNAcentral is "partial 16S ribosomal RNA". It matches the Rfam family "Bacterial small subunit ribosomal RNA", at positions 524 to 776 of the family's 1533-position model. The record is from RNAcentral.